GCCCAGGCGCCCUGCCUGGGCCUGUUCUCCGAUCCAUCGUGGACCGGACGGUCCACGAGUGGGCCUGUGGACCGCGUGAGCAUUUUCCACGCAUUUCUCGCGGUCCACGGCACUAUUCCAUGGACCGGAGCACGAUCGGAGGGCCCAGGUGACUCCCGAUCUUGAUCCGACGGUCUGAGACGUGAUUUGGGUUGAUUAAGGAGUACUAAUCAUGAUCUAAGUCGUGAUUAAGGCCUAUAAAAGUCCUGUACAUUGAACAGAGGCAGUGUGGUUCGAUUUUUUGCCUGAGACCGCACGGAACCCAAGAAGAGGAAGAAGAGAG
This 322-nucleotide long non-coding RNA is filed under the name Elaeis guineensis (African oil palm). RNAcentral describes it as "long non-coding RNA (EGUI_LNC049876)". Lineage: Eukaryota; Viridiplantae; Streptophyta; Magnoliopsida; Arecales; Arecaceae. The record is from RNAcentral.